This 233-nucleotide unclassified non-coding RNA is filed under the name Hevea brasiliensis (rubber tree). Lineage: Eukaryota; Viridiplantae; Streptophyta; Magnoliopsida; Malpighiales; Euphorbiaceae. The record is from RNAcentral.
CACCACGCGCCUCACACCGAAGUUCUUGGCAGCCUGCAGCACAUUAAUCGUGCCCUGCACCGCAGGCAAUACAAGCUCCAUCUGCGGGUCCUUAGGGUCCUCUAGCGUACANGGGAGAGGCCACGUGGAAAACCCCCCGACAGCCCUCAACGGCCUUGGCAACGGCGUCGUAGUCAAGAACGUCGGCCUCGAAGAUACGAAGUUGGACGUUAGAGUAGGCGGCGGAAGGGAGG